GUGGGGAAUUUUGGACAAUGGGCGCAAGCCUGAUCCAGCCAUUCCGCGUGCAGGAUGAAGGCCUUCGGGUUGUAAACUGCUUUUGUACGGAACGAAACGGUCCGGGUUAAUACCCUGGGCUAAUGACGGUACCGUAAGAAUAAGCACCGGCUAACUACGUGCCAGCAGCCGCGGUAAUACGUAGGGUGCAAGCGGUAAUCGGAAUUACUGGGCGUAAAGCGUGCGCAGGCGGUUUUGUAAGACAGGCGUGAAAUCCCCGGGCUCAACCUGGGAAUUGCGCUUGUGACUGCAAGGCUGGAGUGCGGCAGAGGGGGAUGGAAUUCCGCGUGUAGCAGUGAAAUGCGUAGAUAUGCGGAGGAACACCGAUGGCGAAGGCAAUCCCCUGGGCCUGCACUGACGCUCAUGCACGAAAGCGUGGGGAGCAAACAGGAUUAGAAACCCUAGUAGUCC
Molecule: ribosomal RNA, 450 nt
Filed under: uncultured bacterium
Lineage: Bacteria
Description: partial 16S ribosomal RNA
Rfam family: Bacterial small subunit ribosomal RNA
Source: RNAcentral